CCUACGGGAGGCAGCAGUGAGGAAUAUUGGUCAAUGGGCGCGAGCCUGAACCAGCCAAGUAGCGUGAAGGAUGACUGCCCUACGGGUUGUAAACUUCUUUUAUAAAGGAAUAAAGUGAGGCACGUGUGCCUUUUUGUAUGUACUUUAUGAAUAAGGAUCGGCUAACUCCGUGCCAGCAGCCGCGGUAAUACGGAGGAUCCGAGCGUUAUCCGGAUUUAUUGGGUUGAAAGGGAGCGUAGAUGGGUUGUUAAGUCAGUUGUGAAAGUUUGCGGAUCAACCGUAAAAUUGCAAUUGAUACUGGCAGACUAGAGUACAGUUGAGGUAGGCGGAAUUCGUGGUGUAGCAGUGAAAUGCUUAGAUAUCACGAAGAACACCGAUUGCGAAGGCAGCUUACUAAACUGCCACUGACAUUGAUGCUCGAAAGUGAGGGUAUCAAACAGGAUUAGAUACCCCUGUAGUC
This 460-nucleotide ribosomal RNA is filed under the name uncultured bacterium. Its description in RNAcentral is "partial 16S ribosomal RNA". It matches the Rfam family "Bacterial small subunit ribosomal RNA", at positions 338 to 795 of the family's 1533-position model. The record is from RNAcentral.